Podospora pseudocomata is the source of this 96-nucleotide non-coding RNA. Lineage: Eukaryota; Fungi; Ascomycota; Sordariomycetes; Sordariales; Podosporaceae. The record is from the annotation of a RefSeq genome assembly.
GCCCGAUUAGCUCAGCUGGUUAGAGCGUCGUACUAAUAUAACCUCCAGUUAUAAGAAGUCAUGCGAAGGUCAACAGUUCAAUCCUGUUAUUGGGCA